Molecule: long non-coding RNA, 703 nt
Organism: Oncorhynchus tshawytscha (Chinook salmon)
Lineage: Eukaryota; Metazoa; Chordata; Actinopteri; Salmoniformes; Salmonidae
Exons: 2
Source: RefSeq, a predicted model, not a curated record
AGUGGCUAAGAAACCAUACCUCGGCCUAUUACAGGUAUGUAGUGGCUAGGAAACCAUACCUCUGCCUAUUACAGGUAUGUAGUGGCUAGGAAACCAUACCUCGGCCUAUUACAGGUAUGUAGUGGCUAGGAAACCAUACCUCGGCCUAUUACAGGUAUGUAGUGGCUAGGAAACCAUACCUCGGCCUAGUAGUUCGUAGUGGCUAGGAAACCAGUACCUCGGCCUAGUAGUUCGUAGUGGCUAGGAAACCAGUACCUCGGCCUAGUAGUUCGUAGUGGCUAGGAAACCAGUACCUCGGCCUAGUAGUUCGUAGUGGCUAGGAAACCAGUACCUCGGCCUAGUAGUUCGUAGUGGCUAGGAAACCAGUACUCGGCCUAGUAGUUCGUAGUGGCUAGGAAACCAGUACCUCGGCCUAGUAGUUCGUAGUGGCUAGGAAACCAGUACCUCGGCCUAGUAGUUCGUAGUGGCUAGGAAACCAGUACCUCGGCCUAGUAGUUCGUAGUGGCUAGGAAACCAGUACCUCGGCCUAGUAGUUCGUAGUGGCUAGGAAACCAGUACCUCGGCCUAGUAGUUCGUAGUGGCUAGGAAACCAGUACCUCGGCCUAGUAGUUCGUAGUGGCUAGGAAACCAGUACCUCGGCCUAGUAGUUCGUAGUGGCUAGGAAACCAGUACCUCGGCCUAGUAGUUCGUAGUGGCUAGGAAA